RNAcentral lists this long non-coding RNA (5436 nucleotides) under Macaca mulatta (Rhesus monkey). Its description in RNAcentral is "lncRNA (ENSMMUG00000053619.1)". The record is from RNAcentral. Lineage: Eukaryota; Metazoa; Chordata; Mammalia; Primates; Cercopithecidae.
GUCACUGCCCAUUGGCGCUGGCGCCAGGCGGGGGCGCGGGCGGGGCAGCAGUUCCGAGUCCGGCGCGCACGGGCAGGGUCCCCAUUGCCUGCCGCGCACCCGGACUAGCGACUACCCUCGGCCUCCUCGCCAUGGACGCGGACGACUCCCGGGCCCCCAAGGGCUCUUUGCGGAAGUUCCUGGAGCACCUCUCCGGGGCCGGCAAGGCCAUCGGCGUGCUGACCAGUGGCGGGGAUGCUCAAGUGGGUCUCAGGCCCUCCCCGCCAGCCUCCGCGGACCGGAAGGACCAGGAAGCGGGGACUCCGGGACGUCAGCGGCGCCGCGGCGCGGGCUCUGGGCUUCCCCUGCCCUGCAAUGUGGAAGCGGCUCUCCAGGAGGGGCCCGAGCCUGGACCCACGACGCGGGCGCGCCGGGAGGACAUUUAACAUUGAAGAGCGGGAGGUGAUGGAGAGUGCGCUCCCCAGGCCCCGGGUGCACGUAGGGGCGCCUGUGCCCGGGAUCGGGAGGGUGAGGCCUUCUCCGUCAGGUAGACUUGUUAAAUCUAUCUGAAAGUCACAGAUAACUAAGUGUCAAGUCGUCACAGAUAUUUAUGUAUCCUGAAUGAGAUGGCUACGGAAAACAUGAAAACAUCGUUACUGCUUACGUGCAUGAUGCAUCCAAAACAUUGUUACCUGCACAGUGGCAGCACUGAUAUUUGUGGGCUUUUGAACGUGUGGACUGGAGUGUUAAGAGUCCUUCAGAGUCAUGACAGUAGUUUGAUUUGAAUGUUCUUUUCUUGGCGAAUAAAUGCUGUACAUUGAAUUUACCCAGGAAACUAGGAAGGUGAACCCACACGAAGGACACAGACCUGUGGGCUGCUCCAGGCACCAUUAGGGCGUUGCGGGGCCUGAGCCAUGGGCUUCCCGUUCAGCCUCUUGAGAGCCGUGAUGGCGUCUCUGUUCUGCCUCACACUGGACCCGCUAGUUUCUUUUUUUUUUUUUUUUUUUUUUUUGUUGAGACAGAGUCUCGCUUUGUCGCCCAGACUGGAGUGCAGUGGCCGGAUCUCAGCUCACUGCAAGCUCCGCCUCCCGGGUGCACGCCAUUCUCCUGCCUCAGCCUCCCGAGUAGCUGGGACUACAGACGCCCGCCACCUCGCCCGGCUAGUUUUUUGUAUUUUUUAGUAGAGACGGGGUUUCACCGUGUUAGCCAGGAUGGUCUCGAUCUCCUGACCUUGUGAUCCGCCCAUCUCGGCCUCCUAAAGUGCUGGGAUUACAGGCUUGAGCCACCGCGCCCGGCUGGACCCGCUAGUUUCAUAUUCUUGUUAUGGUUCCGAAGCUACAAGCGGUUGGAUUCUGCGAGUCGCUCUCUGUCUUCCUCCUCCAGCUGCUUUCAAAUGGGUCGUCUCUUUUUUAGAACUUCUUUUUUAAGCAGUGAUUGAUGGGGUGAGUUGUAGUGCUGUCCUGAACUGCAGAGGGAGCGCACUGAGGAACCUGGAUUUUGAUGCUGUGCACAUCAGCUGAGUCAGCAGCCCAGGGCCCUGUCAGUCCCAUUAUUAAGCUUAUUUCUUGCUCUUCGACGCCUUAAAAAAAAAAGCAAACUCCUGCUUGCUGUCACUGGCUGUUUGGCAAAUGGGUGUUUACCCUGGAAAGAGGGACAUUUUGUCCUCUGGACCGUCUAAGGCGCCCUUUAGUGACAUGGUCCGUUUCUGACCACUCUAUUCUGUGGGCGUCCUUCCUGCUUCCACCUUCCCUUUCCAAACGCCUCCGCCUCCAGGGCUUUAAUUUUCCUUCUGUGUGUGUGUCACGCAGAGGUUACGACUAUUGCGCCAGUGCCCUUAUUUUAUUUUAUUUUUUUCCUGCGGAGGUCCCAGAAUUUGCUACAUCUCAAAAGAAGCAAUUGCAUCCAUUUGUUCGCGAUGAUCAUAAACAGUGCCCUCUAAGGGAGACUAAUUGGUCAACCCGUCUGCUGUGGGUAGAAAGACAGCGGUGGCGCGGAACGAGGGCUCUGCCUCUUCAGAGCCUGCACAACCAUCCUGCUUUCUUUCUUCAAUAUCCAGUAGGGGGUUAAUUUGAAUAAGCCCUUGAAACCAACAAAGCAGGAAAGUGCAAAGACAUUGAGUUGCGAGAUUUAAAAUGACAACCAGCAGCCUCUCAUUCUUCCUUCACUGGGGGUUGCCACUUCGUUUUGGGGCUGCAGGGUAUGUUUGGCAGCGACAUCGGACCUUUGUGCUGUGCGACUCAUGAAUUGAGAUAGUUCCUUACUAAGUGCUUUGUGCUGUAGGUAUGAAAAUGGGGAAAGAGGGAGCACUGUCCCGGGUGGAGAGGCGUGGAGAGACGCUGUGAUACAUAGCAGGUCCUUUUCUUCUGGGCUCCUGGUUAUAAAUCUUUUUUUUUUUUUCUAAUAGCCUGACAGAUGGUUUUUGUGUCUUUUUUUUUUUUUUUGAGACGGAGUCUGGCUCUGCCGCCCGGGCUGGAGUGCAGUGGCCAGAUCUCAGCUCACUGCAAGCUCCGCCUCCCGGGUUUACGCCAUUCUCCUGCCUCAGUCUCCCGAGUAGCUGGGACUACAGGCGCCCGCCACCUCGCCCGGCUAUUUUUUUUGUAUUUUUUAGUAGAGACGGGGUUUCACUGUGUUAGCCAGGAUGGUCUCGAUCUCCUGACCUCGUGAUCCGCCCAUCUCGGCCUCCCAAAGUGCUGGGAUUACAGGCUUGAGCCACCGCGCCGGCCCUGGUUUUUGUGUCUUAAUUAAAAGAUUGAAGACUGUGGGCCAGAUCCAAACUAAUUCCAUUGGCAUCAGAGAGAAGGAUUCUGUGCAUAUUUAUCUAUAGGCAUAAUUGAUUUUUUUUUUGGUCCAAUUAUCUGGUUAGUCAAAUCAUACAUUACAGAAGUAAUAUUUAAAAUUAAAAAACUAAAAAUAAAAAAUGUAUCUGUAAACCUAUCCCCCUUCCAUUCCAGUCUUUGUCUCUGUGUAAUUUUAGAACCGUGAACCACGAUGUACACAGAGUUUAUACUCUUUUAAUAUCUUGCUACUUCAUUGUUUUAAUGUUUAAUCUUUAGGUUGAUGUAUCACAGGUUGCUUGAUCAUUUCUUACAGGUGUUUGGUUUAGUUUUUUUUUUUUUUUUUUCCCUUUAACUCUAAUGUAAAUUUGAGUAUUUGGCUGGUAGUUUUAGCAGGAUUUAAGGCAGAGCCUCAGUUAGGGCCGCGGAUCGAUUUAUGGUCCCUACUUUGAGGAGGGAAGUGGCAAUCUGCCCUUUCUUCUAUAAUUGAUAUGUUGAAUCACAAUGGACAUUUACUUGAUUUUGAGCACUUGGAACUCCCCUGGGGUUCACUGAUAUUGCAAGGUCAGGACUGGGGAUCUCCUGCUGGAGAGGCCCCCGGCGUGCCCAGGGCAGGGUCCUGAGCGCGUUGCUGCAGGACAGAAGCCCUGGGCUUUGUCCUCCAGCAGCCAUCACUCUGGGAAGGACUGGCUGCUCCAGGAAUGAGGUCUAUGCUCUGAAACCCACAGUCAGCAGACCAGCAAAGGUCAGCACAGACGACCUUCUAUGAAUCAUUCAUUUAGCAAGCAUUCAUGGAAUACACACUCCGUGCAGUUGGAACUUAGAGUGGAGGGCCAUCAGCUCACUGUUGUCUGAGCAGAGCUUGAUCUCUGGCUCCCUGUUGUAGCCUCCGCUCCUAGGAGGUGCACAGUGAGUGUUGGGGAACCCUCCACAGGCACAGUUGCUGAACAAGGACCCCUCCCAAGGGCGUCAGCCCUGGGCCCUGAGCUCUGAAGAGGAGGAAGGCAUUCCUAGGGCCGACUUCCCUUCUGGAUACUGAGCUCUGCACAGAGAGAAACUCUUCCACAUUCACUGCGGUGAAGUUCCUAAAACAAAUAACACUUUAGAGACUGGGGCCUGCAUUCCCCGGAAUUUCAUGGCCACAGGUGGUGGCUGUACCGUGCGACUGGAGUCUGCGUUCCCUGGAAUUUCUGUGGCUGCAGGUGGUGUCUGCACCAUGCAACUGGUGUCCCUGGAAUUUCCGUGGCCAAAGGUGGUGACUGUACCAUGUGAAUGAGGGUCUGUGUUCCCUGGAAUUUCCAUGGCUAUAGAUGGUGGCUGUACCAUGUGUCUGAGGGUCUGCCUUCCCUGGAAUUUCUGUGGCUGCGGAUGGUAACUGUACCAUGUGACUGAGGGUCUGCAUUCCCUGGAAUUUCUGUGGUCGCAGAUGGUGGCUGUACCAUGCAACUGGGGCCUGCAUUCCCUGGAAUUUCCAUGGCCACAGGCGGUGGCUGCACCAUGCAUCAGGUCCUGUCUCAGGAGUUGGUGUCAUUCUCUCUGUUACUCCCUCACCUGACACAGAGCGGCAGUUCCUGACCUUAUCACUCCCAGGAAACACACAGGCAUCUGUUUUGGAUCCUUGUUUUAUUUCCCCAUUACCUUUGUCAUCAAAGGGAAAUUCACAUCCCUAUGAAGCCGAAAAUGGUGUGGGGCCCCCUGGUGGUCUUUCCAAGGCAUUAUCAGCAGGUAAACUAGACCGUAUGGGCCAGUGUACCUGAAAUGAAAACAGAAAGGUAAGUCGUGUCACUAAGCUUUGCUGGGAGAUUCAGGGUCUUUGUCAGUGACAGAGUCAUCCAAAGUAAGUUGUUUGUUCACUGCAGAUCGACACGGUUAGCUGUGUCGGGAUUAAACUUACCCAGUGUCGACAGAGUGUAGCUUAAUCCUCACGGAGGGGUGUCAAGUACAUUGAAGAAUAGCUGCCGAGCCUGCUAUUGUCGGGAGAGGGGCAGGUGCCUCUCUCGCUUAGCCCAAUGCUGAAGGAGGCCGGGCUCACGUCAGGCCGUGCGUGUGAGCGAGCUGGAUGUUUAGCACGCUGGGACGAUAGAGCACAAACAUCUAUUUUUAACUUGUGGGUGACCUUCUUCUGUGCUGCUUGAGUCUCUGUGGACCUUUCUCUGUUUCCUUCCUGAGGAGUCUAUGCCAGGGUCCCAGGCGUUCUCUGCGCUGCACCUCGGCGCCUGCCCACUCAGGAGCCUCCUCCUGGUGGCUGUGGGACCGGGCUGGGCCCACACUGUCAGCAUCGUCCGGGGUAAGCAAGCCCGUCCCUCCACACCUCAGUGUCCCCAGCUGUUGAACAGGGCUAAUCAACUGACCGUCAGGAUUAAUGGGGAUCAGAUGCGCUCAUCUCAUAGCCCUGCUUGGUAAACAGCCACUUCCACUCUGUCCUCCAAUGUGCUACUCUAGACUUUUUCUUUACCUCCAUUUAGCCAGGUGAUUCGAGGUGACAGUGACUAUCAAGAGGGACGUACAGAGGAAAUCAGUGGAAGAGAGCUCGAGGAGCAGACAUGGGUGCAGGGAACACAGUGCGGGGAGCACGGGUGCAGGGAACAUAGGCAUGGGGAGCACAGAUAGGUGUGGGGAGGUGAGGAUGGGUGCGGGGAGCACGGGUGUGGGCAGCACGGGUGCCCGGAGCACAGGUGUGGGG